This 238-nucleotide ribosomal RNA is filed under the name uncultured bacterium. RNAcentral's name for it is "partial 16S ribosomal RNA". It matches the Rfam family "Bacterial small subunit ribosomal RNA", at positions 96 to 334 of the family's 1533-position model. The record is from RNAcentral.
UGGCGGACGGGUGAGUAACGCGUGGAUAACCUGCCUCACACUGGGGGAUAACAGUUGGAAACGGCUGCUAAUACCGCAUAAGCGCACAGUACCGCAUGGUACCGUGUGAAAAACUCCGGUGGUAUGAGAUGGACCCGCGUCUGAUUAGGUAGUUGGUGGGGUAACGGCCUACCAAGCCGACGAUCAGUAGCCGACCUGAGAGGGUGACCGGCCACAUUGGGACUGAGACAUGGCCCAA